This 447-nucleotide ribosomal RNA is filed under the name uncultured bacterium. Its description in RNAcentral is "partial 16S ribosomal RNA". It matches the Rfam family "Bacterial small subunit ribosomal RNA", at positions 29 to 523 of the family's 1533-position model. The record is from RNAcentral.
AACGAACGCUGGCGGCAGGCUUAACACGUGCAAGUCGAACGCCCCGCAAGGGGAGUGGCAGACGGGUGAGUAACGCGUGGGAACAUACCCUUUCCUGCGGAAUAGCUCUGGGAAACUGGAGUUAAUACCGCAUACGGCCUACGGGGGCAAGAUUUAUCGGGGAAGGAAUGGCCCGCGUUGGAUUAGCGAGUUGGUGGGGUAAAGGCCUACCAAGGCGACGAUCCAUAGCUGGUCUGAGAGGAUGAUCAGCCACAUUGGGACUGAGACACGGCCCAAACUCCUACGGGAGGCAGCCGUGGGGAAUAUUGGACAGUGGGCGCAAGCCUGAACCAGCCAUGCCGCGUGAGUGAUGAAGGCGUUAGGGUUGUAAAGCUCUUUCACCGAUGAAGAUAAUGACGGUAGUCGGAGAAGAAGCCCCGGCUAACUUCGUGCCAGCCGCCGCGGUAA